GUGGGGAAUAUUGGGCAAUGGGCGAAAGCCUGACCCAGCAACACCGCGUGAAGGAAGAAGGCCUUCGGGUUGUAAACUUCUUUUAUGAGGGACGAAGGAAGUGACUGUACCUCAUGAAUAAGCCACGGCUAACUACGUGCCAGCAGCCGCGGUAAUACGUAGGUGGCAAGCGUUGUCCGGAUUUACUGGGUGUAAAGGGCGCGUAGGCGGACUGGCAAGUCAGAUGUGAAAUCCAUGAGCUCAACUCAUGAACUGCAUUUGAAACUGUUGGUCUUGAGUAUCGGAGAGGCAAGCGGAAUUCCUAGUGUAGCGGUGAAAUGCGUAGAUAUUAGGAGGAACACCAGUGGCGAAGGCGGCUUGCUGGACGACAACUGACGCUGAGGCGCGAAAGCGUGGGGAGCAAACAGGAUUAGAUACCCCAGUAGUCC
Molecule: ribosomal RNA, 428 nt
Filed under: uncultured bacterium
Lineage: Bacteria
Description: partial 16S ribosomal RNA
Rfam family: Bacterial small subunit ribosomal RNA
Source: RNAcentral